GGUGAACGCUGGCGGCGUGCCUAAUACAUGCAAGUCGAGCGAACAGACGAGGAGCUUGCUCCUCUGACGGUAGCGGCUGACGGGUGAGUAACACGUGGAUAACCUACUUAUAAUACUGGGAUAACUUCGGGAAACCGGAUCUAAUACCGGAUAAUAUAUUGAACCGCAUGGUUCAAGAGUGAAAGACGGUUUUGCUGUCACUUAUAGAUGGAUCCGCGCCGCAUUAGCUAGUUGGUAAGGUAAAGGCUUACCAAGGCGACGAUGCGUAGCCGACCUGAGAGGAUGAUCAGCCACACUGGAACUGAGACACGGUCCAGACUCCUACGGGAGGCAGCAGUAGGGAAUCUUCCGCAAUGGGCGAAAGCCUGACGGAGCCACGCCGCGUGAGUGAUGAAGGUCUUCGGGUCGUAAAGCUCUGUUAUUAGGGAAGAACAAAAGUGUAAGUAACUCUGCACGUUUUGACGGUACCCAAUGAGUAAGCCACGGCUAACUUCGUG
This 497-nucleotide ribosomal RNA is filed under the name uncultured bacterium. RNAcentral describes it as "partial 16S ribosomal RNA". It matches the Rfam family "Bacterial small subunit ribosomal RNA", at positions 28 to 507 of the family's 1533-position model. The record is from RNAcentral.